AUGGUUUUGACAUCGACCAUUUGCCUCAUUUUCAUUUUAAGCGAUGGGCAGAGUCUUACUGCCUUUCUUCUCUGUUCUCCGAGUGCCGCACCCACUGUGAGCCGGCUCAUCAGCCUGAAAGGUAAAGAGCGAAGCCGCGACCAUGCUCGCUGCCGGCUGCCGGGGGUCGGCGUGGCGGGGAGCGUCGGGUGGGAACGUGCUGCGACCACCAUCCCCCUCUCCUCUCCCUCCGCAGAUGUGCGCCCGCGGUAUGUCAUGGAUGUGGCGGCCAAGGACGGGCAGCUGCUCUGCUCCGUGGUGCCGACCCUCGCCACGCAGAGAGUGAGACACCGCUACUGCAGCUCCGGUGAAGGAGAACAACUCAUCCUCAGUUCUCCCAGUCCUUGCAGUGAGAAGACCAUGGCUGCAAAGAGGCAUGGACAUGUUCCAUCUGUCGCGAUGUGCGACAGGACAUGGCCCGUGUGAUUCCAUGUAAUCACACAUUCUGCCUGGGCUGCAUCCAUCG
Molecule: long non-coding RNA, 505 nt
Filed under: Coturnix japonica (Japanese quail)
Lineage: Eukaryota; Metazoa; Chordata; Aves; Galliformes; Phasianidae
Description: lncRNA (ENSCJPG00005012743.1)
Source: RNAcentral